This 69-nucleotide transfer RNA is filed under the name Ictidomys tridecemlineatus (thirteen-lined ground squirrel). Its description in RNAcentral is "Spermophilus tridecemlineatus (thirteen-lined ground squirrel) tRNA". It matches the Rfam family "tRNA". Rfam says of the family: Transfer RNA (tRNA) molecules are approximately 80 nucleotides in length. Their secondary structure includes four short double-helical elements and three loops (D, anti-codon, and T loops). Further hydrogen bonds mediate the characteristic L-shaped molecular structure. tRNAs have two regions of fundamental functional importance: the anti-codon, which is responsible for specific mRNA codon recognition, and the 3' end, to which the tRNAs corresponding amino acid is attached (by aminoacyl-tRNA synthetases). tRNAs cope with the degeneracy of the genetic code in two manners: having more than one tRNA (with a specific anti-codon) for a particular amino acid; and 'wobble' base-pairing, i.e. permitting non-standard base-pairing at the 3rd anti-codon position. The record is from Rfam by way of RNAcentral. Lineage: Eukaryota; Metazoa; Chordata; Mammalia; Rodentia; Sciuridae. RNAcentral also lists the same sequence under 1 other name.
GGGGCUGUAGCUCAGUGGUAGAGUGCAUGCCUCGCAUGUGUGAGGCACUGGAUUCAAUCCUCAGCACCA